Molecule: ribosomal RNA, 741 nt
Filed under: uncultured bacterium
Lineage: Bacteria
Description: bacterial SSU rRNA
Rfam family: Bacterial small subunit ribosomal RNA
Source: RNAcentral
ACGCUAGCGGGAGGCCUAACACAUGCAAGCCGAGCGGUAUUUGUUCUUCGGAACAGAGAGAGCGGCGUACGGGUGCGGAACACGUGUGCAACCUGCCUUUAUCUGGGGGAUAGCCUUUCGAAAGGAAGAUUAAUACCCCAUAAUAUAUUUUACGGCAUCGUGGAAUAUUGAAAACUCCGGUGGAUAGAGAUGGGCACGCGCAAGAUUAGAUAGUUGGUGAGGUAACGGCUCACCAAGUCAGUGAUCUUUAGGGGGCCUGAGAGGGUGAUCCCCCACACUGGUACUGAGACACGGACCAGACUCCUACGGGAGGCAGCAGUGAGGAAUAUUGGACAAUGGGUGCAAGCCUGAUCCAGCCAUCCCGCGUGAAGGACUAAGGCCCUAUGGGUUGUAAACUUCUUUUAUACUGGGAUAAACCUACUUACGUGUAAGUAGCUGAAGGUACAGUAUGAAUAAGCACCGGCUAACUCCGUGCCAGCAGCCGCGGUAAUACGGAGGGUGCAAGCGUUAUCCGGAUUUAUUGGGUUUAAAGGGUCCGUAGGCGGAUUCGUAAGUCAGUGGUGAAAUCUCAUAGCUUAACUAUGAAACUGCCAUUGAUACUGCGAGUCUUGAGUGAGAUUGAGGUAGCUGGAAUAAGUAGUGUAGCGGUGAAAUGCAUAGAUAUUACUUAGAACACCAAUUGCGAAGGCAGGUUACCAAGUCUUAACUGACGCUGAGGGACGAAAGCGUGGGGAGCGAAAC